CUCCCCAAAGGAACCAAACCCUAGCUCAACCUUAAAUGAUCAAAUUGAAGAGUAAAUCGAAGCUUAAAUUCAUGGAUGAACAUGGAUUAAUGACCACCAUCACGAGGGGAUCAUAAGUAGAGGAAUCAUGUCAAGAUGGACUCAAACAUGAAAGGCUAAUGGGUCAAGAGGAGGCAAGGAAGCGGAUACGGACACAGAUGCACAAGGUUGUAUGAGUCACGGAGGAUCACCGAGGAGUGAAGAUCGAAGACCGAGUCACAAGUUAGAUUGCACGGGAAUGUUUGAAUAAGAAAAUUAGUAAAUAUAGUUUAUGUUUCUAUUUGUAAAUAAGUUCGAUGGGUGUAUUCAGUGAAAUAGUGUCACCUUAUAAUGAACUUCAAGUAAG
Helianthus annuus (common sunflower) is the source of this 385-nucleotide long non-coding RNA. RefSeq lists it as uncharacterized. The record is from RefSeq and is a predicted model, not a curated record. The transcript is spliced from 3 exons. NCBI's taxonomy places the organism in Eukaryota, Viridiplantae, Streptophyta, Magnoliopsida, Asterales, Asteraceae.